GCGGGGGGUGCGGGGGGAGUAACCGCUGGGACACCUGCAAGGGCGACUCCGGGGGCCCGCUGGUGUGCGGGGGCGUGGCCGAGGCCGUGGUCACGUCGGGCUCGCGCGUGUGCGGCAACCGCAAGAAGCCCGGCAUCUACACGCGCCUGGCGAGCUACGUGGCCUGGAUCGACGGCGUGAUGGCCGAGGGCGCGGCCGCUUGACGAGGCCCCGAGGGGCGGCCGACCGGGGUCGCGCAAUAAAGCAUCCUCUCCUGCA
Molecule: non-coding RNA, 258 nt
Organism: Puma concolor (puma)
Lineage: Eukaryota; Metazoa; Chordata; Mammalia; Carnivora; Felidae
Source: RefSeq, a predicted model, not a curated record